Molecule: non-coding RNA, 134 nt
Organism: Arachis ipaensis
Lineage: Eukaryota; Viridiplantae; Streptophyta; Magnoliopsida; Fabales; Fabaceae
Source: RefSeq, a predicted model, not a curated record
CGGAAGAGAAAGAAUAUGAUAAAGAUAGAAAGAAGAUGAAGAUGGCUGUGAUGGAACUUGCUGAAAAUGAUCACAGGAUUCGGUGUGCCUUAUUUGGUGAAUAUGUUGACGAACUUAAUCGAUUUCUGUCUUCU